GCAUUCACUUCACAACAAGUCGUUGCCAGGCACUUACCGUAAAUCUCAGCCAUUUAUCAGUUUUUUUUUUACAUUAACUGACGACCCAGAAAUAACACGUGAUACCAAUGUAAUUUUACUAGUGGCUCACAAGCCUUGUUAGAAGUGGCAACCAAAUGUCAGAUAUCUUCCACAGAGAUAAACAAAGCAUUUAUUUUGGACCUGCCAAAAUGUUUUGAAAUGAUUAAUUUACAAU
Long non-coding RNA from Sebastes umbrosus (honeycomb rockfish), 235 nucleotides. RefSeq lists it as uncharacterized. The record is from RefSeq and is a predicted model, not a curated record. The transcript has 3 exons. Lineage: Eukaryota; Metazoa; Chordata; Actinopteri; Perciformes; Sebastidae.